RNAcentral lists this unclassified non-coding RNA (340 nucleotides) under soil metagenome. Its description in RNAcentral is "partial contains 5.8S ribosomal RNA, internal transcribed spacer 2, and large subunit ribosomal RNA". The stretch from base 1 to 120 matches the Rfam family "5.8S ribosomal RNA", at positions 35 to 154 of the family's 154-position model. The record is from RNAcentral.
GAUGAAGAACGCAGCGAAAUGCGAUAAGUAGUGUGAAUUGCAGAAUUCAGUGAAUCAUCGAAUCUUUGAACGCACAUUGCGCCCUCUGGUAUUCCUCAGGGCAUGCCUGUUCGAGCGUCAUCUAACCCCUCAAGCAGCGCUUGGUGUUGGGCGCUUGUCCCCCCCGCUCGGGCGGGGACUCGCCUCGAAAACAUUGGCGGCCCGUGUAUUGGCUUCGAGCGCAGCACAAUUGCCCUCGUCCCCUCUCCGCGCGGGCGCUCCAGCAAGCGACACACCCACGUUUUGACCUCGGAUCAGGUAGGGAUACCCGCUGAACUUAAGCAUAUCAAUAAGCGGAGGA